CAUGUACAACAGCUAUUUUGAUGUAGUUCUCUCUUACAUAAAAUCAUCCUCCCUCAUCUCUUUCAUUGAAUUCCUGAGUAAAUGCUAUCAGCUUCUCAAAAUUCAGCGAGUUAUCAAUGAGGUCUUGUCCAUCACUGCACAGGAAAUUGCAUUUCUGGCUUCGGUAUUUGAUGAAAACGUUUCUGUCUUCGGUGUGCAAAUGGAGAUGCUGCUGUUGGAGUUUAGCCCACGGGAGUGUCAUACAGCUGCAAAGGAGAGGAUGGACUCAAAGCAUCACUGCGCAGUGCGACUGCUGAGCCCGUGGGGUGAAAGCAUGCUGGAUUGGAGAUGCUGGAAGAAAGCACAAGCAGUCCUUCAAGAUGAGGUAGGAGGGAUGGCAGUAACAGAAGAGCACAGCUGAAUCUCAAGAUCUCAAGCAAAGACAGCAGGAGUCUGAGCAUUUAAAUAUGCCUUCGCCAUGCUGGAGCAUUCCAAGCAGUGUGUUCUUCAAGUUUGGAAAGGCCAUGUAAGAUUUCAGUGCAUCGGCUCAGCCUGGAGGACAAGAGGACACAGACCUCAGAGCAAGGAGGGCCCUUACCCAUCAGUGACUGCUCCAUGGAUGGUGGCACGGAGCGCAGUGGAGACAACAUCUACAACUGGAAGAGCUCACAGCGCCACUGUGUUAAAGAACAAAGAGAGCCAUGAGUGUUCCCAGGCAGCAGCCGGAGCGCAGGUAAGUGUGGAGCAGCCAGCAGGGAUGCAAGCAUGCUCAGCAAAAGAGGACAAGCCUGAAAGUAAGUCUGAAAUCCUUUGGGAAUUUUCCUCACCUCUUCAGAAAUAUGAUCAACGUUUGCCACUCUUCUGAGGCUCUAGUUCAACAUUAUUACUGCACAUCACUCACCUGUACAAGGACAAAUGGG
Gallus gallus (chicken) is the source of this 899-nucleotide long non-coding RNA. The record is from Ensembl. NCBI's taxonomy places the organism in Eukaryota, Metazoa, Chordata, Aves, Galliformes, Phasianidae.